RNAcentral lists this ribosomal RNA (253 nucleotides) under uncultured bacterium. RNAcentral describes it as "partial 16S ribosomal RNA". It matches the Rfam family "Bacterial small subunit ribosomal RNA", at positions 524 to 776 of the family's 1533-position model. The record is from RNAcentral.
UACGGAGGGGGCUAGCGUUGUUCGGAAUUACUGGGCGUAAAGCGCACGUAGGCGGCUUUGUAAGUUAGAGGUGAAAGCCUGGAGCUCAACUCCAGAAUUGCCUUUAAGACUGCAUCGCUUGAAUCAUGGAGAGGCGGGUGGAAUUCCGAGUGUAGAGGUGAAAUUCGUAGAUAUUCGGAAGAACACCAGUGGCGAAGGCGACACACUGGCCCAAUACUGACGCUGAGGCGCGAAAGCGUGGGGAGCAAACAGG